Molecule: ribosomal RNA, 429 nt
Filed under: Chloroflexota bacterium
Lineage: Bacteria; Bacillati; Chloroflexota
Description: Chloroflexi bacterium partial 16S ribosomal RNA
Rfam family: Bacterial small subunit ribosomal RNA
Source: RNAcentral
UGGGGAAUAUUGCACAAUGGGCGCAAGCCUGAUGCAGCCAUGCCGCGUGUAUGAAGAAGGCCUUCGGGUUGUAAAGUACUUUCAGCGGGGAGGAAGGGAGUAAAGUUAAUACCUUUGCUCAUUGACGUUACCCGCAGAAGAAGCACCGGCUAACUCCGUGCCAGCAGCAGCGGUAAUACGGAGGGUGCAAGCGUUAAUCGGAAUUACUGGGCGUAAAGCGCACGCAGGCGGUUUGUUAAGUCAGAUGUGAAAUCCCCGGGCUCAACCUGGGAACUGCAUCUGAUACUGGCAAGCUUGAGUCUCGUAGAGGGGGGUAGAAUUCCAGGUGUAGCGGUGAAAUGCGUAGAGAACUGGAGGAAUACCAGUGGCGAAGGCGGCCCCCUGGACAAAGACUGACGCUCAGGUGCGAAAGCGUGGGGAGCAAACAGG